RNAcentral lists this ribosomal RNA (253 nucleotides) under uncultured bacterium. RNAcentral describes it as "partial 16S ribosomal RNA". It matches the Rfam family "Bacterial small subunit ribosomal RNA", at positions 524 to 776 of the family's 1533-position model. The record is from RNAcentral.
UACGUAGGGGGCAAGCGUUAUCCGGAUUUACUGGGUGUAAAGGGAGCGUAGACGGCCAUUCAAGCCAGAUGUGAAAGCCCGGGGCUCAACCCCGGGACUGCAUUUGGAACUGUGUGGCUAGAGUGUCGGAGAGGCAGGCGGAAUUCCUAGUGUAGCGGUGAAGUGCGUAGAUAUUAGGAGGAACACCAGUGGCGAAGGCGGCCUGCUGGACGAUGACUGACGUUGAGGCUCGAAAGCGUGGGGAGCAAACAGG